RNAcentral lists this ribosomal RNA (99 nucleotides) under uncultured bacterium. RNAcentral describes it as "partial 16S ribosomal RNA". It matches the Rfam family "Bacterial small subunit ribosomal RNA", at positions 1386 to 1482 of the family's 1533-position model. The record is from RNAcentral.
CACACCGCCCGUCACGCUAUGGGAGCCGGUAACACCUGAAGUCGCUGGGCUAACCCGCAAGGGAGGCAGGCGCCGAGGGUGGGAUCGGUGACUGGAGCG